Schistosoma haematobium is the source of this 45-nucleotide non-coding RNA. NCBI's taxonomy places the organism in Eukaryota, Metazoa, Platyhelminthes, Trematoda, Strigeidida, Schistosomatidae. The record is from Rfam.
AUCCAGCUGAUUAAUCCCGAAUAGGACGAAACGCGCGUCCUGGAU